RNAcentral lists this ribosomal RNA (460 nucleotides) under uncultured bacterium. RNAcentral's name for it is "partial 16S ribosomal RNA". It matches the Rfam family "Bacterial small subunit ribosomal RNA", at positions 338 to 795 of the family's 1533-position model. The record is from RNAcentral.
CCUACGGGUGGCUGCAGUGAGGAAUAUUGGUCAAUAGACGAGAGCCUGAACCAGCCAAGUAGCGUGAAGGAUGACUGCCCUAGGGGUUGUAAACUUCUUUUAUAUGGGAAUAAAAUGUGCCACGUGUGGGGUUUUGUAUGUACCAUAUGAAUAAGGAUCGGCUAACUCCGUGCCAGCAGCCGCGGUAAUACGGAGGAUCCGAGCGUUAUCCGGAUUUAUUGUGUUUAAAGGGAGCGUAGGUGGGUUGUUAAGUCAGUUGUGAAAGUUUGCGGCUCAACCGUAAAAUUGCAGUUGAAACUGGCAGUCUUGAGUACAGUCGAGGGAGGCGGAAUUCGUGGUGUAGCGGUGAAAUGCUUAGAUAUCACGAAGAACUCCGAUUGCGAAGGCAGUGCACUGGACUGCAACUGACACUGAGGCUCGAAAGUGUGGGUAUCAAACAGGAUUAGAUACCCUAGUAGUC